UACGUAGGGGGCAAGCGUUGUCCGGAAUCAUUGGGCGUAAAGAGCGUGUAGGCGGCUUGGUAAGUCCGCUGUGAAAGUCCAGGGCUCAACCCUGGAAUGCCAGUGGAAACUGCCAAGCUAGAGUCCGGAAGAGGCGAGUGGAACUCCUGGUGUAGCGGUGAAAUGCGCAGAUAUCAGGAAGAACACCAAUGGCGAAGGCAGCUCGCUGGGACGCGACUGACGCUGAGACGCGAAAGCGUGGGGAGCAAACAGG
This 253-nucleotide ribosomal RNA is filed under the name uncultured bacterium. RNAcentral's name for it is "partial 16S ribosomal RNA". It matches the Rfam family "Bacterial small subunit ribosomal RNA", at positions 524 to 776 of the family's 1533-position model. The record is from RNAcentral.